AACGUAGGAUCCGAGCGUUAUCCGAAUUUACUGGGCGUAAAGCGCGUGCAGGCGGUUUGGUAAGUUGGAUGUGAAAGCUCCUGGCUCAACUGGGAGAGGCCGUUCAAAACUGCCAGACUAGAGGGCGAUAGAGGGAGGUGGAAUUCCCGGUGUAGUGGUGAAAUGCGUAGAUAUCGGGAGGAACACCUGUGGCGAAAGCGGCCUCCUGGGUCGCACCUGACGCUCAGACGCGAAAGCUAGGGGAGCGAACGGG
Molecule: ribosomal RNA, 253 nt
Filed under: uncultured bacterium
Lineage: Bacteria
Description: partial 16S ribosomal RNA
Rfam family: Bacterial small subunit ribosomal RNA
Source: RNAcentral